CUUCAGUGACUUGUUGUGGACAGAUGUAAUGAACGUGCACGUCGACGGCUCCGGCUGUUACGAUUAGUUUUUCUCCAGCUAUAACCUCGGUGGAUGACCCGACGACGAGGUUCUCGCCAACAGAGUCCAUCGCAUCUGGAUUACCAGCUUUCCCGAUCCCAACGAUGAUUCCGCCCCUGACACCGAUGUCCGCCUAGAAAGUGAUGAGCUACCUUUCAAUACGAGCUCAAGACGGCUUCACCUUGUAUAUACCGGUCCAAUCAACGAUCACGGCGUUUGUGAUAACGAGAUCGAGGGACUCCGUAGAGCUCACUCCGGAUGCCUGACCCAUGCCAUCCCGGAU
RNAcentral lists this small RNA (343 nucleotides) under Hydnomerulius pinastri MD-312. Its description in RNAcentral is "5' ureB small RNA". It matches the Rfam family "5' ureB small RNA". The record is from Rfam by way of RNAcentral. Lineage: Eukaryota; Fungi; Basidiomycota; Agaricomycetes; Boletales.